AUUAACUAGAUGUUUCCUAAUUAGCUGAGAAUAAUAUAAUCCAGAAGACAAAGGA
This 55-nucleotide unclassified non-coding RNA is filed under the name Mus musculus (house mouse). RNAcentral's name for it is "partial derived from hnRNA or mRNA fragment, or novel small non-messenger RNA without known sequence-or structural motifs". The record is from RNAcentral. Lineage: Eukaryota; Metazoa; Chordata; Mammalia; Rodentia; Muridae.